Long non-coding RNA from Mastomys coucha (southern multimammate mouse), 419 nucleotides. RefSeq lists it as uncharacterized. The transcript is spliced from 2 exons. The record is from RefSeq and is a predicted model, not a curated record. NCBI's taxonomy places the organism in Eukaryota, Metazoa, Chordata, Mammalia, Rodentia, Muridae.
GGUGAAGGUUUCACUCUGGAGUCCUCGGGCUGGAGAUGGGCUUGGCUCCCUAUGACCUCCUUUGCCUGGAGCACAGUGACUAACUCAGAAGAACCACUGUUGACGGGAUGUGAGGCAUCAAAUGUACAUAACGAGGCAGGAUGAUGUGCAGGGGCACGAGUCAUUCUCAGACUCAGGAGACAUCCCUGCCUUUGGACACAGAUGAGCUAGAGAUCACCCAUCCCCCACUGCCUGGAUGCUCUGCAUGGAGGAGGCCCUGUGAUUUAGUCCUGUAAUGGCAGUGUACACGGAUCACCUGGUGAUACUGCUGCUGAGGAUGCCCUGGCCCUUUCCGCAGCUGGACCUUGGUUCCCAGAAUGGAGAGAGCUCCGAUGUUUACAACAUUUACAUUUUAAUUAAAAUCCUUUUUGGAUUCUCUG